UCAGAGUUACAUACUAAUGCAGUACAGAAUCUGGAAAACAUGAAAGCUGAAACUUAACUCAAUUAAACUUCUUUGAUAAGCCCCUCCUCUUCCAAGCAGCAGGAAGAAUGCACAAGAGGACUGGUGCUGUGGCAGAAUGAUUGCUACCACAGACCUGAUGUACACCAAGUGGAACUGAUGGGACAAUCCUUACAAUGUUGUGAUGUCUUCAAUAGAAAACAAGCAAGCUUCCAUCCUGGGAAAGGAAUCCAGUGAUUUGGAAUGACCAAAAUGGGAAAACUGCCCAAGUGGCAGUGGAAGAGGCUGCCCAGG
Long non-coding RNA from Cyanistes caeruleus (blue tit), 312 nucleotides. RefSeq lists it as uncharacterized. Lineage: Eukaryota; Metazoa; Chordata; Aves; Passeriformes; Paridae. The record is from RefSeq and is a predicted model, not a curated record.